Pelobates cultripes (western spadefoot toad) is the source of this 336-nucleotide non-coding RNA. Lineage: Eukaryota; Metazoa; Chordata; Amphibia; Anura; Pelobatidae. The record is from the annotation of a GenBank genome assembly.
GCAACAAGAAGAAGGAUGGCUUUGGCAUACCUAAUACACAUGCCCCUUCCCAAUCUUGUGGUAACUCCGAAUAAGUUUUCUUACCACAGAUCCAGUAUAAAUUUGCUGGGGCUUUCCAUCUAGAUGUAGCCGAUAAGUCAAACCAUACCUCCCUUAAAUGAGUGUAAUUGGCAAACAGAUUAGUAGGCUCCGAGACAUUUGAAGCUGACCACCAAGUAGUAUUUUUAGUAUUAACAUUAUAUGCUUUUUGUCCCAAGCAAGUUAGCUCACCUACAGACGUGUUAUACAUUGUCCCUUUCCUGGCUAUACAAACAUGACCUAUAAUGGAGGUUUUUA